UCUUGUGCAAUGGGCGCAAGCCUGACGACGCAACGCCGCGUGGAGGAUGAAGAUCUUCGGGUCGUAAACUCCUUUCGAUCGAGACGAACGGCCUCUGGGUGAACAAUCCAGGGGAGUGACGGUACCGAGCGAAGAAGCCCCGGCUAACUCCGUGCCAGCAGCCGCGGUAAUACGGGGGGGGCAAGCGUUGUUCGGAAUUACUGGGCGUAAAGGGCUCGUAGGCGGCCAACUAAGUCAGACGUGAAAUCCCUCGGCUUAACCGGGGAACUGCGUCUGAUACUGGAUGGCUUGAAUCCGGGAGAGGGAUGCGGAAUUCCAGGUGUAGCGGUGAAAUGCGUAGAUAUCUGGAGGAACACCGGUGGCGAAGGCGGCAUCCUGGACCGGCAUUGACGCUGAGGAGCGAAAGCCAGGGGAGCAAACG
RNAcentral lists this ribosomal RNA (421 nucleotides) under uncultured bacterium. Its description in RNAcentral is "bacterial SSU rRNA". It matches the Rfam family "Bacterial small subunit ribosomal RNA", at positions 362 to 774 of the family's 1533-position model. The record is from RNAcentral.